Molecule: ribosomal RNA, 462 nt
Filed under: uncultured bacterium
Lineage: Bacteria
Description: partial 16S ribosomal RNA
Rfam family: Bacterial small subunit ribosomal RNA
Source: RNAcentral
AGUGAACGCUGGCGGCGUGCCUAAUACAUGCAAGUCGAACGGAGAUUAAGUAGCUUGCUAUUUAAUCUUAGUGGCGCACGGGUGAGUAAUAUAUAGCUAACUUGCCCAUUACUAAGGGACAACAGUUGGAAACGACUGCUAAUACCUUAUACUCCGUAUCUAUAUAAGUAGAUACGGGAAAGUUUUUCGGUAAUGGAUAGGGCUAUAUCGUAUCAGCUAGUUGGUAAGGUAUUGGCUUACCAAGGCUAUGUCGCGUAACUGGUCUGGGAGGAUGAUCAGUCACACUGGAACUGAGGCACGGUCCAGACUCCUACGGGAGGCAGCAGUAGGGAAUAUUGCUCAAUGGGGGAAACCCUGAAGCAGCAACGCCGCGUGGAGGAUGACACUUUUCGGAGCGUAAACUCCUUUUCUUGGGAAAGAAUUAUGACGGUACCCAAGGAAUAAGCACCGGCUAACUCCGUG